CACCACUCGGUGCCCUUGACCGCGGACCUCGCUGCCUCUCCAUUGGCCCGGCCGGUCACGUGCGCGGCCGCCGGUCCCAGCCGGCUACAGAGCCGCUGCUGUGCCCGGUCUUGCAAAUCGCCGCCGUCCAGCCGCCUGCUCUGGUGCGAGUCUUCUCCGCUUUACGACUCGGACUCAGAAAAGCCGGCCUGGGCUUCGGCCACUUCCCCAGCACCCGUGUCUGCCCUUCCAAUUGCCCCUUUCCUGCCUGGCACGACCUGGCCUUGCUCACUGCACGCUUCCCUUCUAAGUGAGCCUUCUUUUUCCUUUCCCUCAGCCAGCCUUGAAGUCUCCUUCGACAGAGAGUGAGACCUGCUGUCCUCCCUGCCCUUAGUCACUGUCCACUCAGCCUAAUGCCUCUGUGGAAGAGGAGGAGCCGCCAUCUCUGAACUGUUAAUGGAGGUGGGGAAAGAGAGCCAAGCUAGGAAACAGGUUGAUAGACGGAUCGGCCCAGUCAACUGUGAACACAGCUGCUGAUUCAUGCAAUA
RNAcentral lists this long non-coding RNA (527 nucleotides) under Homo sapiens (human). Its description in RNAcentral is "HSALNT0287349". Lineage: Eukaryota; Metazoa; Chordata; Mammalia; Primates; Hominidae. The record is from RNAcentral.